Long non-coding RNA from Metopolophium dirhodum (rose-grain aphid), 821 nucleotides. RefSeq lists it as uncharacterized. NCBI's taxonomy places the organism in Eukaryota, Metazoa, Arthropoda, Insecta, Hemiptera, Aphididae. The record is from RefSeq and is a predicted model, not a curated record. The transcript has 5 exons.
UUUACGUUUGUGAUAACAUUAUAAAAUUAUCAAUAAUCAUUGUUUUUUAUAAAGUUCUUUUUACUACACUCAUAACACCUCUUGUUUUUUUUUUCAAUUGAUUAAAUUCAGUUACCUAAGAAAUAAGUAGUUAUACUAUUACAGUACUGCAGCAGUUCAUGCUUUAUACUUUAUAGUAUAGACAUCUGUAGUUCAUCAAAACGCAUUUAAUCCUGUCAAACUUAAUUCUAUAGUUCUAUGUACUUUUAUUACAAUUUUCAAAAGUACAUCAAGUGUAUAUGACUUGUGAAAGUGAAUUUUGCUAUUUUGUUCAACAUUACCAAUUCAGUAAUUAACAUCGUCAAUUAUUGCAAUACUUUAUAAACCAAGGGAUCUGAAUGAAUAAAUUUUAUAUUCUAAAUACACCCUCACUCUGUUAGACGACUACUUGAAGACUCACAAUCUUGAAAUAGAAAUUUAUGCUUUUUUUGAUUGGUAACUGAGGGUGAAUCAAUAUUAUUAGGAUAUAAAAAAUGUUUUAGUAGCAGCUAGUCCAUAUUUCCGAGCUGUGUUUAACAGUUUUGAGGAAAGCAACAAUUCAAAUCUUGUUAAUAUGAGUUGGAUUCCACUGGUUUUAUUACUAUUUUUAGAUUAUAUAUUUAUACUGGCAAACUGGUCACCAAUGGAAAUGUACAGGUUUUGUUACCAGCUACAAAUCGCUUAUAGUUGGACUAUACAAUAUAUGUGCAGAGAUUCUACUAUCAUAAAUGGAUACUUCAAAUUAUCUUCCUAUAAAAUUGUUUUCCAACUUACAUAAUUGUACGGAGUUCUCUCAAGUUUUG